AUUGGCACGCACACAGUUGAUGUUCAACCAUAUCAGGUGUGGUCCAGUGAAAGUCAAACAAUAUAUUGUGCCAAUGUGUUUGUGAGAGCGUAGCAGUCCCACUGCUGAGAUGGAGAGCAAAAAAUAAUAUGUAAAACAUUUGACGUAGUGUUACACCUUGUCAGAUAGUAAGCUUACAUUUUUUUAAAUUUCAUGCAGUUGAGUUUCAGAAAUGUGAACAAUGAGCAACAAUUAAACGACAAUCUGUUACAUAUUUACUACAAGUGGUGAUGUUGCGUCAAUGUUAGAUGUAUUUGAAUGUCGAGAAAAAUACAGAGUGAAAUAAUAAGUGAACUAUAACACAAAUAAUCACAAUAUGGCUUAAAUCAUGUUUACAGUUACAACUACAUGGUAAAGUGUUUUCGAUUAUGCGGGAUGUUUUUCAUAGGGUUCUCAUUCCUGCCACCAGAUGCGGAGGGAUCGUUAGCUUCCAUUGGCUUUCAAGGGCAAAACAAAACAUACUGUUACCCAUCUUUGUUCCGGUAGCGCAACUACCGAACUGAUGAUGUUUACCUUUUUUUUACAUAUCUAUCAACAUAAUCUGUUGGGGGAAUUAUUUUAUUUUUCCUACUUACAACCCACAUCCGACAAUUUUUUUAAGUGGGAAUGGUAGAACUUUCAAUUCCCUCGGUCGCACGUACAUUAGUUUUGCAUUUUGUUCCACCAUUUCCGUUAAAAAUGAGAUCCGGCUUGUGCAAGUGAGAAGUUGAGGUUAGAAUUGUAGGAUAUUCUAGGUUAGAUUUGCUAUCCACUUCGCCUGAACGAUUUUCAGACCCAGAAAUAUCGUACUUGUAAUUAGUUUUCACUGCCGUAAAAAAUACUGUUAUGCUCAGAAUAAAUAGUUAUACCUUCGGAUCACACUCAUUUACUCGUAAAUCUCAAUCUGACUGUAAAAAUAAUGAAUUUCUUUCCAAUGUUUUGAAACCCCGAACGAAUUUGACAUUGCUUUCGGGAAGCAUCAUCACGACGACGACAACACUCCCAAGCGGUCGAAUCGUCGUUUUGGGGGCGAAUUGGA
Molecule: long non-coding RNA, 1057 nt
Organism: Aedes albopictus (Asian tiger mosquito)
Lineage: Eukaryota; Metazoa; Arthropoda; Insecta; Diptera; Culicidae
Exons: 2
Source: RefSeq, a predicted model, not a curated record